AUUCCUACGGGAGGCAGCAGUGGGGAAUAUUGCACAAUGGGCGCAAGCCUGAUGCAGCCAUGCCGCGUGUAUGAAGAAGGCCUUCGGGUUGUAAAGUACUUUCAGUAGGGAGGAAGGUGGUUAAGCUAAUACCUUAAUCAUUUGACGUUACCUACAGAAGAAGCACCGGCUAACUCCGUGCCAGCAGCCGCGGUAAUAAU
Molecule: ribosomal RNA, 200 nt
Filed under: uncultured bacterium
Lineage: Bacteria
Description: partial 16S ribosomal RNA
Rfam family: Bacterial small subunit ribosomal RNA
Source: RNAcentral